This is a long non-coding RNA of Metopolophium dirhodum (rose-grain aphid), 1419 nucleotides long. RefSeq lists it as uncharacterized. NCBI's taxonomy places the organism in Eukaryota, Metazoa, Arthropoda, Insecta, Hemiptera, Aphididae. The transcript has 6 exons. The record is from RefSeq and is a predicted model, not a curated record.
UGUUCUAUGACCAUUGACUAUAGAGUGAUGAACUAUUUACCACGAUAUAUCUUAAUUCGUGCUAUUUACUAAUGCAUUCUCCGUGGUUUACACUUUCCCCUAUCAGUGCGUAUUCCAGACCUUAUUAUUGAUAACACCACACCACCACAAAUUAUAUCACGAUUCACUAUUUAUGACAAUCUUGAAUCUACAACUAUAUUCAUUUAAAAAUUAAAAUAAAUGUUUUAGAAUUUAUUCAAAUAAUCAAAUUACAAAAUUAAAAAUAUCUGAUAAAUUUAAUUCUUAUUUAAUUCGUCAUGCAUUCAAUACUUCAAAACAUCUUUGAUCAUACGAACCACGAUAACCAUUUCCUAAUGUUCACGAACAAAUCAUUUAUAGUUGAAAGUCGACUGCUACUUUAUUACCCACUGUUUGCAUGGUUGCUGUGUUUGGUGCUUACGUUAUAAACUACAAAAGUAAACAAAAUUCUAUGAUACUAGAUUUGCUGUAAGACUGUGAUGUUUCUUCAACGUCUAUCUGGGAAUUAUUUAAAUUUUCGAAUAAAAGUAUCUGUUUGUAAAUGGGAAAGAUUGUAUAUCGUCUCUGAAAGUCUGAACUAACAAAUAGAAUUAUGAUUGUGAGGAAUCUACAGAAUUACUAAGGCCAUAACAAUCACUCAAUAAAACAUUCAUUGAUGAUCCAAGAUUAUAAAAUAUAAUGUCAAGAGUCAAGACCACAUUUAGAAGGGUUCACAUUCAUUAUGUAUUUGAAUUGGAACCAAAGAAAUUGUCCUUGUUACUGGAUUACCGUCUUACAGAAGUUUUGUCUUACCGAAGUUUUACUGUAAUAAGUAUUUUAGGUAAAUAUUGGAGAUGAUAAAUCAUUCUGGCAGAAAAAAAGAUACCCGGUAUACAGCGCUAAAAUGUUUUGUUCAAAUCAAGUUCCUGGCCCAUUACGAAGCUUCUUUACAAUGAGUACUUUGGAUACCAUACAAUUUCAUUUCAUUUGUCUUCCGCAACUAUUGAAAAAAUGAAAUUGGCUGGGAAAAAAAUCAAAAACUCAAUACUAUGUAAAGGAAACUACACAACACUAACAAUUUUGUAGUUAAAAACUACUUAAGCUUAAUUAUUGUAAAAAUAUUAACUCUUUAAGCCGAGAUACAUAAAAAAAUGUUUAAUUUAGUGGUUUACUAAAAUGUAAUAGAUCAACCACUAAAUCUAUUUCACAGCUCACCAUUAAUUCUCUGAAUAUUCAGUAAUAGUUUCAUAUGUCUCAGUUAAAUUUUUACUAUUUAGUUUAAUAUAAAUUAUAAUAUGUAAAAAUAGUGGGCAUUUACUAUUUAGUAUAUUAAAUGUCCUCAACAAAAAUAAUUCAACUUUUGUAAACUCAGUAGAAUCUUCCAAGAUUAAAGAUAAUAAAUUGGCAAUUUUUAUUUUAUUA